RNAcentral lists this long non-coding RNA (2459 nucleotides) under Gouania willdenowi (blunt-snouted clingfish). RNAcentral describes it as "lncRNA (ENSGWIG00000019553.1)". Lineage: Eukaryota; Metazoa; Chordata; Actinopteri; Blenniiformes; Gobiesocidae. The record is from RNAcentral.
UUUGGCGUAAGUGAUAGAGGUUGCAUUGUUCUUUUCAUUGUUUUUAUCUUUUCAUCAGUGUAUGGAACAUUUGGAGCAGGAGGCCAGGGAAGGCUUGGAACUGGUAUCUACAACACAGGCCUAGGAGGCUAUGGCACAGGUCCAGGAAGCUAUGGUACAGGUCCAGGAGGCUAUGGUACAGGUCCAGGAGGCUAUGGUACAGGUCCAGGAGGCUAUGGUACAGGUCCAGGAGGCUAUGGCACAGGUCCAGGCAGCUAUGGUACAGGUCCAGGUGGUUAUGGAGCUGGGCCUGGAGGCUAUGGCGGCAGUGCUGGAGGGACUGGUUUUGGUCCUGGUGGUGUUGGGACAGGUCCAGGAGCCACAGGAGGUGCUGGAACAGGAAGAACUGGAGCAGGCCCAGGAGGAGCUGGUGCUGGACCGGGUGGAUAUGGUGGUGUAGGCCCUGAUGGCUCGAGAUAUGGACAAGGAACGGGUACUGGAACUGGAAAACCACCUAAAAGUUAUGGAGCAGGAGCUGGUGGAACAAUAGGAAGACAAGGCUUGGGAACUGGUAUUGGUCCUGGUCCAGGAGGCUAUGUGCCAGGUGGUUACGGGGCUGUUAGUCCUGGUGCAGGCACUUAUGGAUCUGGUGGCACUGGGCCAAGUGGUUUUGGACAAGGUGGUGCUGUGACAGGGGCAGGAGGAUAUGGACAGGGUGGUCAAGGACUGAGAAAACCUCCUAAAUCAGCCUAUGGAUCCUCCUCACUUGGCGGACCUGGUUAUGGACAAGGUGGUGCAGGAACUGGUUAUGGACCAGCUACAGGAGUGGGACCUGGAGGGGCUGGGACUGGAACUAGUGGUUUCGGACCAGGCGGAGCUGGAAGAGGAACUGGUGGUUUCGGACCAGUAGGAGCUGGUACAGGAAGUGGUGGUUACGGACCGGGCGUUGCCGGCACAGGAACUGGUGGUUUUGGACCAGGAGGAGCUGGUACAGGAACUGGUGGUUAUGGACCGGGCGGUGCCGGCAGAGGAACUGGUGGUUUCGGACCAGGAGGAGCUGGCACAGGAACUGGUGUUUUCGGACGAGAAGGAGCUGGUACAGGAACUGGUGGUUACGGACUGGGCGGUGCCGGCACAGGAACUGGUGGUUUCGCACCAGGCAGAGCUGGUACAGGAACAGGUGGUUACGGACCGGGAGGAGCUGGCACAGGAACUGGUGGUUACGGACCAGGCAGGGCCGGCACAGGAAUUAGUGGUUACGGACCAGGAGGAGCUGGCACAGGAACUGGUGGUUUCGGACCAGGAGUAGCUGGCACAGGAACUGGUGGUUUCGGACCAGGCGGUGCCGGCACAGGAACUGGUGGUUAUGGACCAGGAGGAGCUGGCACAGGAACUGGUGGUUUCGGACCAGGCGGUGCCGGCACAGGAAUGGGAGGAUAUGGAGCCGGUGGUCCAGGAUCAGGAAAAAGAAAACCAUCUAAAUCUGGUUAUGGAGGCGCUGGUUAUGGGACAGGAAGCUUCCUAGGAGCAGGUACAGGACCUGGUACUGGUGGAACUGGAACAAGACCAGGUGGUUUUGGUCCUGGUGGUUACGGACCUGCUGGAACUGGUUCAUCUAUUGGUAUUGGCCAAGGUGUAGCAGGAACUGGUGUUGUUGGCCCGAGUGGUUCAAGACCAGGUGGUUUUGGCUCAGGGGGUGUCGGACCUGGUGGGUUUGGUACAGGUGGCGCUGGAACUCUGCCAGGGGGGUUUGGACCACAGGGAGCUGGUGGAUACGGCCCUGGCGAUCAAAGGAAGCCUCCUAAAUCAGGCUAUGGCUCAUCAUUGGGAGGAACUGGCUAUGGACCAGGUGGAGGAGUGGGUGUCCUCCCUGGAACUGGAGCAGGAGGUGCCACUGGUGGAGGACCAGGUGGAGCAGCAGCAGGAACAGGAGGAGGAGUAGGAGGGGAUGCUUCCCUUGGUUUUGGUGGAGGUUAUCCAGGAUAUGCAGGAGCAGCCCAAAAAUCUAAAGCACAGAAAGCAGCUAAAUAUUCCGCUUUGCAGGCUUUACUUGGAGCCGGGGGCUACCGAGGCGCCGGCUGUCAGGGGAAAUACUGUGGCCGUCUAAGGAAGUGAAGGACCAGCACAAAGGAAGUGACCUCACUAAACAACAGUGGUGCUAAUGCUAAUGCCUGAUCCCAUCCUGCAAAUGUUCACUAAAGCGAGGCGUAGCUUCUUCAUUUAUUGUUGUACAGAUCUCUGUGAGUAAGCGAAAGAGCUUGGAUUCAGGAUUUUAAAAAGUUAUUGGUGUGAUUGUAUUUCUGUUUCAAUGCGUUUGGAAUAUUUUUUGAGAUUAUAAUUUUUAAAAAAUACAAUAUUUUGCAAUCAGCUGUAGUAAAAGCAUUUUUUGGGCACAUUAUUUUCUUCUCUGAACAAACCACCUUAAUGUCUGAGCAGAUCCUGAGAAUAAAAAGAUCUACAUAUGUUGUUUAUUAAAAACC